GAUGAACGCUGGCGGCGUGCCUAAUACAUGCAAGUCGAGCGAACGGACGAGAAGCUUGCUUCUCUGAUGUUAGCGGCGGACGGGUGAGUAACACGUGGAUAACCUACCUAUAAGACUGGGAUAACUUCGGAAACCGGAGCUAAUACCGGAUAAUAUUUUGAACCGCAUGGUUCAAAAGUGAAAGACGGUCUUGCUGUCACUUAUAGAUGGAUCCGCGCUGCAUUAGCUAGUUGGUAAGGUAACGGCUUACCAAGGCAACGAUGCAUAGCCGACCUGAGAGGGUGAUCGGCCACACUGGAACUGAGACACGGUCCAGACUCCUACGGGAGGCAGCAGUAGGGAAUCUUCCGCAAUGGGCGAAAGCCUGACGGAGCAACGCCGCGUGAGUGAUGAAGGUCUUCGGAUCGUAAAACUCUGUUAUUAGGGAAGAACAUAUGUGUAAGUAACUGUGCACAUCUUGACGGUACCUAAUCAGAAAGCCACGGCUAACUACGU
This 495-nucleotide ribosomal RNA is filed under the name uncultured bacterium. RNAcentral's name for it is "partial 16S ribosomal RNA". It matches the Rfam family "Bacterial small subunit ribosomal RNA", at positions 28 to 506 of the family's 1533-position model. The record is from RNAcentral.